CCUACGGGCGGCAGCAGUGAGGAAUAUUGGUCAAUGGACGAGAGUCUGAACCAGCCAAGUAGCGUGAAGGAUGACUGCCCUAUGGGUUGUAAACUUCUUUUAUAUGGGAAUAAAAUGUUCCACGUGUGGGAUUUUGUAUGUACCAUAUGAAUAAGGAUCGGCUAACUCCGUGCCAGCAGCCGCGGUAAUACGGAGGAUCCGAGCGUUAUCCGGAUUUAUUGGGUUUAAAGGGAGCGUAGGUGGAUUGUUAAGUCAGUUGUGAAAGUUUGCGGCUCAACCGUAAAAUUGCAGUUGAAACUGGCAGUCUUGAGUAGAGUAGAGGUGGGCGGAAUUCGUGGUGUAGCGGUGAAAUGCUUAGAUAUCACGAAGAACUCAGAUUGCGAAGGCAGUUCACUGGACUGCAACUGACACUGAGGCUCGAAAGUGUGGGUAUCAAACAGGAUUAGAUACCCCAGUAGUC
RNAcentral lists this ribosomal RNA (460 nucleotides) under uncultured bacterium. Its description in RNAcentral is "partial 16S ribosomal RNA". It matches the Rfam family "Bacterial small subunit ribosomal RNA", at positions 338 to 795 of the family's 1533-position model. The record is from RNAcentral.